RNAcentral lists this ribosomal RNA (794 nucleotides) under uncultured bacterium. Its description in RNAcentral is "bacterial SSU rRNA". It matches the Rfam family "Bacterial small subunit ribosomal RNA", at positions 48 to 848 of the family's 1533-position model. The record is from RNAcentral.
GCUACCAUGCAGUCGAGGGGUAGAGGCUUUCGGGCCUUGAGACCGGCGCACGGGUGCGUAACGCGUAUGCAAUCUGCCUUGUACAAAGGGAUAGCCCAGAGAAAUUUGGAUUAAUACCUUAUAGUAUAUAAUUAGGACAUCCUUAUUAUAUUAAAGAUUUAUCGGUACAAGAUGAGCAUGCGUCCCAUUAGCUAGUUGGUGUGGUAACGGCAUACCAAGGCAAUGAUGGGUAGGGGUCCUGAGAGGGAGAUCCCCCACACUGGUACUGAGACACGGACCAGAUUCCUACGGGAGGCAGCAGUGAGGAAUAUUGGACAAUGGGCGCAAGCCUGAUCCAGCCAUGCCGCGUGCAGGAUGACGGUCCUAUGGAUUGUAAACUGCUUUUAUACGGGAAGAAACCCUGGCUCGUGAGCCAGAUUGACGGUACCGUAGGAAUAAGGAUCGGCUAACUCCGUGCCAGCAGCCGCGGUAAUACGGAGGAUCCAAGCGUUAUCCGGAAUCAUUGGGUUUAAAGGGUCCGUAGGCGGUUUUAUAAGUCAGUGGUGAAAUCCGGUAGCUCAACUAUCGAACUGCCAUUGAUACUGUAGAACUUGAAUUAUUGUGAAGUAACUAGAAUAUGUAGUGUAGCGGUGAAAUGCUUAGAUAUUACAUGGAAUACCAAUUGCGAAGGCAGGUUACUAACAAUACAUUGACGCUGAUGGACGAAAGCGUGGGGAGCGAACAGGAUUAGAUACCCUGGUAGUCCACGCCGUAUACGAUGGAUACUAGCUGUUUGGUAGCAAUACUGAGUGGCU